UCGGAAAUGGCCGGUUGUAAUAAAGACGGAAAUCAACGGUGGAAAGUGCAAAGAUUUGUAUCGGAAAGUGAUGGCACUGGUUCUAAUGGAGGUGGAAAAAACGCUCCAGGCGGCAGCUCGAGCAUAAAAAAAGCGGCAGUAAAAGUUAACCCGUGCCUUCGGUACCUCCAUUUAGGAUGAAGGACAACAGCGCGUUCCAAUGUGGUAGUCUGGAGUUUGGACGAGUCACCUUUGCCGGAUGAGCAACUUUCCAUCGCAUCCUUGAUUGCAUCGCAUUCUGAUCCCAACUUCAAGGAUAGCAAUGGGCUCGUGGCCGGAAUAGCAAAUACAUGGAGGACAACACAUGCGGAAAUGAAUCAAUUUUGGACGAAGGGAAAAGGCAUGCCAUAAUUUUAUAUACCGGGCGGUGCUGUUCCCGAGCAAUCCUCAGUAAAAAUCUAGCAACCAUCCUCAGCGGAACCCUCGAGAAAAUCGCCGACCACGAAGAGCUCCUUUCGGAUGGGGUUCAAAAAUUUGCAAUCAUCAACAAGCUGGAACCAAAAGAAAAAAUUCCGACUGGGCAGAAUCGAUCGUAACUUUGAAAACCCGGAAACGGUGCCGUUGUUUAGAAAUAUGUAAAUAGUCCCGUUCCUAGCAAGUGGCUGCCCAGCUCCCAAGCGAUUGUUCCUCAUGCGUCAUAUUUUUGGCCGUCUGUCCAGGGAAAGUUUUCGAAGGGCUCGACUGUGCGGACCUGAAUGGCAGAGCUGGGAUUGUUAAGGA
Uranotaenia lowii is the source of this 759-nucleotide long non-coding RNA. RefSeq lists it as uncharacterized. NCBI's taxonomy places the organism in Eukaryota, Metazoa, Arthropoda, Insecta, Diptera, Culicidae. The transcript is spliced from 3 exons. The record is from RefSeq and is a predicted model, not a curated record.